Molecule: non-coding RNA, 72 nt
Organism: Bombyx mori (domestic silkworm)
Lineage: Eukaryota; Metazoa; Arthropoda; Insecta; Lepidoptera; Bombycidae
Source: Rfam
UUAACUCGAAUUUGUAUGAAGUUGGAGUUUGCCGCUAGGGGCGCUGUUCCAACUGCAUACAAAUUCGAGUUA